CAGUCUAAUGGAGAAACUUAUGAAGAAGAAUAGCAAAGCAAUGGAAGCAAAGGAAGGAAGCGCAGCUGUGCACUCUCGGAGCUUCUGCUUUUAUAAUGGAAGAGGGCCAAAAUUUUCAAGCAAAGGCAACCCGCCAGUCAUGCUGACGAUCCAUGUGCAAGGCAAAACGCCAAUGGUAAUGGCGAUUUGGCCUGCACUGACGCGUCUCCGCUGCUGCACUGCCAUGGCCUGUGACUAGCCCUGCACCCUCAGCUAUUGGAACUCGCCAGUUUGACUGGCGGUUCCCUAGCGUUCUGCAUAUCGCCAGUUCGAAUGGCGAUUUCAAACUUGCAUGCACGUAUCGCCAACGUCAA
This 353-nucleotide unclassified non-coding RNA is filed under the name uncultured fungus. Its description in RNAcentral is "sequence contains ITS1". Lineage: Eukaryota; Fungi. The record is from RNAcentral.